AACGCACGAGACCUGCGGACCUGCGGAAGGAUCAUUAGUGAGAAACUGCCCCUCGCGGGUAGAUCUCCCACCCUUUGUAAACUUACCUUUGUUGCUUUGGCAGGCCCGUCUCCGGACCGCCGGCUUCGGCUGGCCAGUGCCUGCCAGAGGAUUCUAAAACUCUGUCUGUCAGUGUUGUCUGAGUCUAUAUACAAUCGUUAAAACUUUCAACAACGGAUCUCUAGAUCGGAAGAGCACACG
Molecule: unclassified non-coding RNA, 240 nt
Filed under: soil metagenome
Description: partial contains 5.8S ribosomal RNA, internal transcribed spacer 2, and large subunit ribosomal RNA
Source: RNAcentral